Long non-coding RNA from Vespa mandarinia (Asian giant hornet), 1422 nucleotides. NCBI's taxonomy places the organism in Eukaryota, Metazoa, Arthropoda, Insecta, Hymenoptera, Vespidae. The record is from RefSeq and is a predicted model, not a curated record.
CAUCAAGUGUAGCAUUCGGCGAACUGCUAGACUGCUUUUUUUUUUUUUUUCGUUCUUUCCUUUUCUUUUUUUUCCUUUCUUUCUCCGUCUCUUUUUACCCAUUUUUGCUUCGCGAUCGUUCUAAAUACCAAGGAAGACGUUGACCUUAUAUAAAAGCGACAAGGGUAAGAGGAUCAAGGCAAAUCAUUAUUUGAUUCUUCGCUUCCGAAGUAUUUUUUUAAAAGCAAAGUAAACAUCCGGUAUAAUCGAGAGGUAUACGAGCUUCUCUGGAUCGGUUUGUCGGUCGGUCGGUCGGUCGGUCGGUCGAUCGAUAAAUCGAUUAAUCGAACGUAUCGUCAAUAGUAGUUCUCCGCUGGUUGGCGUUCAUUCGACAAUUGGCUUUGUCUGUCAGCGAUUUUCUUCCGGGGGAAAAGGAAGACGACGCGAAGCAAUUCAAAUAAAAAGAAGCGAAAAGAUAAAGAAAACAAGAGGACGAGAGAUAGAGAUAAAGAUAAAGAUAAAGAUAGAAAGAAAAAGAGAAUUAUCGUAGAAUUGUUGAUUCUCUCAAUAGUUCGAAUAGACGUAGUCUUCGUCGUUCUUCUUUUUUUCUUUAUUCUUCCCUUUUCAUUUUAUUAUUAUUAUUAUUAUUAUUAUUAUUAUUAUUAUUAUUAUUAUUAUUAUUAUAAUUUCGUUUUUUUUUUAACCCCCAUUGUUCCGAAAAGAGAAAGAAAGAGAAAUAGAUAGUAGACACGAGCGAUCCUCAAGCUUUGCCUCCUCGAGAUACAAUCGCCGUGUCAGGCUCGGCGUACGACGUCCUUGAAUCGCGUAACGCUUUUACUCGGCCGACUCUUGCGCUCUGCUUCAACCGAGCAUUCGACCGAAGUGCUUUCGUGCUGCGCCGGAAUCUCCUACGUGCAAAAUAAAAUCCGGAAGGCCUGUAACGUCUGCGGAGCGAGAACCGUGCCACCACGAACGAGUAUUGGGAUCUACGAAGCGGCAAUCCGGUGAUUACCUCGUUCCAGAAAAGAAGAAAAUAAUUUGGCUUUAGAAUCGUGAAAGUGAUCGAGCAUCUAGAACGGACCUUGUGGUAGGAGAGAAAGAGUAAGAACGAUCGUCCUCGCUCGCCGAAAGUCGCACUCUCGAGUGACGACUACAUUGAGCUCAGUGUGCGUGCUUACUCUAACGAGCAAAGACGAAAGUUUUUCUUCUUUUAUUUUUCUUUUCCUUUUACUCUUUAUUUUUUUAUGACAUUCCGCGAUAACAAUUUCGACGAUAAAAAGGAUCAUCGAUAUAUGUGACAUAUGUAAGAGAAAGAGAGAGAGAGAGAGAGAGAGAGAGAGAGAGUAAGAGAGAGAGAGAGAAACAAUCUUCAUCGUGUCAAACAGCAAACAAGCAGAUAGAGCGAGUUAAAGAAGAUAAAAUUAUAAAAGGAAGAAACGAGAG